This 497-nucleotide ribosomal RNA is filed under the name uncultured bacterium. Its description in RNAcentral is "bacterial SSU rRNA". It matches the Rfam family "Bacterial small subunit ribosomal RNA", at positions 899 to 1397 of the family's 1533-position model. The record is from RNAcentral.
ACUCAAAGGAAUAGACGGGGGCCCGCACAAGCAGUGGAGUAUGUGGUUUAAUUCGAAGCAACGCGAAGAACCUUACCGGGGCUUGACAUCCCUCUGACCGGUGUAGAGAUACACCUUCCCUUCGGGGCAGAGGAGACAGGUGGUGCAUGGUUGUCGUCAGCUCGUGUCGUGAGAUGUUGGGUUAAGUCCCGCAACGAGCGCAACCCUUAUUGUUAGUUGCCAUCAUUUAGUUGGGCACUCUAGCAAGACUGCCGGUGACAAAUCGGAGGAAGGUGGGGACGACGUCAAAUCAUCAUGCCCCUUAUGUCCCGGGCUACACACGUACUACAAUGGCCGUCAACAACAGGAAGCGAAGCCGCGAGGCGGAGCAAAUCCCCAAAAACGGUCUCAGUUCGGAUUGCAGGCUGAAACUCGCCUGCAUGAAGUUGGAAUUGCUAGUAAUCGCGAAUCAGCAUGUCGCGGUGAAUACGUUCCCGGGCCUUGUACACACCGCCCGU